GACGAACGCUGGCGGCGUGCUUAACACAUGCAAGUCGAACGAUGAAGCCGGAGCUUGCUCUGGUGAAUUAGUGGCGAACGGGUGAGUAACACGUGAGUAACCUGCCCUUGACUCUGGGAUAACUGCUAGAAAUGGUAGCUAAUACCGGAUACGACCCUCGGAGGCAUCUCCAGGGGGUGGAAAGAAUCUCGGUCAAGGAUGGACUCGCGGCCUAUCAGCUAGUUGGUGAGGUAACGGCUCACCAAGGCGACGACGGGUAGCCGGCCUGAGAGGGUGACCGGCCACACUGGGACUGAGACACGGCCCAGACUCCUACGGGAGGCAGCAGUGGGGAAUAUUGCACAAUGGGCGCAAGCCUGAUGCAGCAACGCCGCGUGAGGGACGACGGCCUUCGGGUUGUAAACCUCUUUUAGUAGGGAAGAAGCGAAAGUGACGGUACCUGCAGAAAAAGCACCGGCUAACUACGUGCCAGCCGCCGCGGUAA
Molecule: ribosomal RNA, 484 nt
Filed under: uncultured bacterium
Lineage: Bacteria
Description: partial 16S ribosomal RNA
Rfam family: Bacterial small subunit ribosomal RNA
Source: RNAcentral